RNA transcript from Myotis brandtii (Brandt's bat), 1589 nucleotides. It is a transcript of the gene named synapsin-1-like, with no coding region annotated. The transcript is spliced from 2 exons. The record is from RefSeq and is a predicted model, not a curated record. NCBI's taxonomy places the organism in Eukaryota, Metazoa, Chordata, Mammalia, Chiroptera, Vespertilionidae.
GUUUCUUAUUUUAUGUCGUGUUUGCAAUCAAUGCUUAUUGCUUUAAUAACCACAAAAUGUUGUUUUAUAUGUUAAGCGAUGCUUCUGUGCUCGGUGUGGGAGGCAGGGGCCGUCUCCAGAUGCCCCGUGACUCACCACGAAGGAGGGAAAACCUCUUUGCGGCUCCGUUGGGCUGGGCGCGGGGCUGGGGGUCUCGCACGGCCGAGCUCAGGGCCCCGCGGCUCUGUGACUCCUGCUAAUCGCCUGCAUUUCACGGAAAGUGGGGCUCAGAGAGGUCAGGCGGCCUGACCGGCCACAGGCUCAGGGGCUGGCACGGGGAGGAGGGGCCUGUAUGCAGCCUGGUGAGUGAAGGCGGCAUGGCCUUUCCUGGCAGGAGGCGGUUGGUCAUCCGAACCGGAGACUUCGGGACGGGCCCGAGAGGGGUGGCUGGGGAGCUGAUGGCCGGGUGUGCGGGGUCCGUGGGAAGAAGACGGGGAAACUGCUGGGCCCGCGAGUCCGGGGGGAAGAUGGGGGUGGAGGCCUGGCCCUGGGACGUGUGGGUGGAUGGGAACGAGCUCAGAGUCCCCGAGACGGGUCACCCGCACCCCGGGCCUAAGCUUCUCCAGCAGGAAACUAGGUGUCAGACCCGCCAGACCUCCCUCCCGGGGCCGCAGUCAGGCCCAAGGAGUGCGGCGGGCGGCGGGGGGGCUGUGAGCAGACGAGAGGGACCGUCUGGGGCGUGGGGCCCGCAGGGCGCCGUGCUCGGGUCUGUGAUCAGCGCUGCCCGAUCCGCCAAGUGGAUCAGUGCGUGUGGAUCACCCCACCCCUCACGACGCUGCGGGGGAAGCAGAUGCUGUGGCCGCAGAUGGUGCACAAGGAGGAAACUAGGCCCAGAGAGGUCGGGAGCCUGGCCUGAAGCCACACAGCGUGACGGGGAGCUAGUCAGGAAGCCGUACUCGGAGGGCAGUCUUAGAUUUACAGGGAAAGUUCCGAGACAGUGGCGCCCACCCCCCGCCCAGUGUCUGCUGUCACUCCCGGUGACGCUCGGCGAUGCGAUGUUACCACGGACGCGUCAGGACUGACCCAUCAUGAUCACUGGACUCCACGCUCUGUUCCCGUCCCCCCAGGUCCCCCCAUCUUUCCUCGGCUCCGGGCCCAGGCUGCCCCCAGCCGCGACGGUUUCCCCCGAGUGCCUGGCUGUCUGUGACCUUGAGGAAGGCCGAGGCGUUGCGGGAUCUGUGAUGUUUGUCUCACGACCAGACUGGGGUUGGGUUUCCCGGGGAAAGAGCACGCAGGGACCCGCCAUCCCCGUGGCCUUACACCCAGAGCCCACGUGUGAGGAUAAAAAUAAACGGAGCCACGGUCCAACGGAGCCGGAGCCGCCGCCCGGGGAGCGGCCCCUGACCUCGGGACGGACCGAAACAGGACAAACAACCUCCGGGCGGGGCCUGAAGCAAUGCUGCGCCCCUUGUUUGCCAGGAGAACGAGAAAGCAGAGGCUCCGCUACGGACCGAGGCCCCCGGGCUGGGAAUGAAACAGCCCUCUAGGGCAGCUGUUCUCAACCUUCCUAAUGCCGCGACCCUUUAAUACGGUUCCUCAUGUUGUGGUGA